AUGCAACGCGAAGAACCUUACCACUUCUUGACAUGGAGAUUAGAUCCUUCUUAACAGAAGGGCGCAGUUCGGCUGGAUCUCGCACAGGUGCUGCAUGGCUGUCGUCAGCUCGUGUCGUGAGAUGUUGGGUUAAGUCCCGCAACGAGCGUAACCCUCAUCCUUAGUUGCCAGCGGGUUAAGCCGGGCACUUUAAGGAGACUGCCAGUGGUAAACUGGAGGAAGGUGGGGAUGAUGUCAAGUCAGCACGGCCCUUAUGGGGUGGGCUACACACGUGCUACAAUGGUGACUACAAUAGGUUGCAAUGUCGUAAGGCUGAGCUAAUCCGUAAAAGUCAUCUCAGUUCGGAUUGUCCUCUGCAACUCGAGGGCAUGAAGUCGGAAUCGCUAGUAAUCGUGGAUCAG
RNAcentral lists this ribosomal RNA (401 nucleotides) under uncultured Anaplasma sp. Its description in RNAcentral is "bacterial SSU rRNA". It matches the Rfam family "Bacterial small subunit ribosomal RNA", at positions 954 to 1352 of the family's 1533-position model. The record is from RNAcentral. Lineage: Bacteria; Pseudomonadati; Pseudomonadota; Alphaproteobacteria; Rickettsiales; Anaplasmataceae.